CGAAUGUCACAUCUUUACUAUAUAAUUGGAGUUCUGUACAAAAUAGUUAAAUAAUUACAUCAUAGGAAGACAACGAUCCAGCAACCAAAGUUGACUGGGAGACGACGAUCUAGACCUCUCACGAACUUAUCGCGGCAUCCAUCAAGCUCCUCAUCUUGUGAUACCUGUCCUUUACCUGGGGGAUGUGAGUACAACAAGGUUGAGCUCACAUACGUUCAUUGCUCAACAAGUUGUGGGGAAUAAUGUGCAUGAGCUCACUUACAGUGGGGCUAAUGUAAAGUGUAAGGCUUACCAAAGGAGAUCAUUACAGCUCAGCAUUGCUUUUAAAGUUGGUCAAAAUUUUAUUAGCAGUUACUAAGUAUAAGUAUAUACCAACACAAUUAAGUAAGACAUCACAAUUAAUCAUAAAACCCGUAAUGCAAUGCAUAUGACAAAUUAAGUUUAGUUCCAUAGUUUACUCAUGUGAGUGUCCGAGCUGCUCUUGACCGUGAGCACGACUGAUAUACUAGUUUUACCCACAAGUCGUGUUACCCAUUUGCCAAGGGAUUGCGACUUCCCAUUCAUCUCUGCCGAGGAGACGAGGCAGGGUACCACUACGAGGCCUUUACAAAGUUCCACUAGCUUCAGAAAACCCACUACGGUUUCUGAGAAGGGUAAUAUAGGAAUCCCUUGUUCGAAAAGCCGUCGCAGCAUGAUCGACCUGAGAACCUACCUAUACAUAGCUACUCUACAGCCCUUGCCCCUUUCGGGUAAGGUAGUCCUCCACUAGCUUUCCUAAUUAGUCAGCCAAGGGCGUCCCAUACCACCCUUGUGGUAGCACUAUUUUCCCAGAUGGUUCUCCAUGUUCCAAUUAACAAAACGAUCUUAUCAUGAAUAAUAAUUAAAACAACAACAAAAUUGGAACAUGACCAUGAUAUGACAUUAAUUUUCCAAAACCAGGUAGAGCAAUAGCAAAUCUACCCAAUAGUUCUUUUGUUUGCAAGGAGUGGGAUAAACAAUACUAGGGAUACCUAUUAGGUCCCAUCAUAUUAACCUGAGCAUGUCACAGUGAUUAACAUGAACAUUUUUAGGUAGAGAAAAGUGAUCAAGGGCACAACUUGCUUUAUACUCGAGAUUCCAGGUACUUCACCAAGUAGGUCUUCGGGUAACUCGUAACCUCGCUGCUACUCGUAGCAAUACAUGCAAAUAGACAAAAAUUACAUAAAAAUAACAGUACACCAAACAUGAGAAAAACAGUGUAAGAUUAUUCUACGCGCUACUACGAGGUCGUAGGUUUGAGAAUCACUAAAAUCGGAGUCACGGUCAUAAAGAUACGAGUUUCAGAAGAUUUAUGCGAUUAAACAGGAAAACUAUGUUCUAUAUUAAUUAUUAUAAAUCAUGCAAAAAAGGAUAUUCUAAAUAAAAUAACUAACUUAAGCCUAAUCCAAGUGAUAACUUAAUUAGAAAUCAUAUGUUAGCCAACUUAUUAUUUUAAACAGUUUAACUUUGACUAGAAAGGUUAAUCUACUAACAUAGGUUAAACAAAAUACCUAUUUAUAAAAUUUAUGGGACUUGAUCAAACAAUACUGUCACUAUGUAGGUAACUUUAUUACGGAACUAACGCAACUUGAAUGGGUCAAAUCAAAGUUAGAAUAAAUUAUUUAUGGAUUUUCUAUGAUUUUUGGAAUUAUUUUUACGCUUAGAAAUCAAUUUUCUAGAUUUUAUUAUUGCUGUUAACUGAAAAAUGGGUGGUGGCAUUAAUUUCCCAAAGGUCAAGGACUGAUCUAUAAAUGUUUGGGCCAAACUGUAAUGAUCUUAUAAUGGCACGGGAUGGCGGGUUUAUUUGGUAAAACGACAUGGGUUCUUAUGCAUAAUUCCUUUGUCCAAGGGGUAUUGGUCAACCAGAUCCAUCAGAUUGACUAUCAAUGGCCUAGAUUAAAAUUUGGUUACGACAAUCUGGUAAGCCAUAUGGGCCCUUGGAUAUGAGAUCCACGCCCCAUAGACAACCACGCUUCAUUAAUUUUGAACCCUUGGUUCAAAGAUCAACGACUACGAUCUAAUGGGUCGAAGGGGUAUUCCUUCACUUAAUUUGGUUCGCUCAUUGUCCAAUCAACGACCAAAUGCUUCCCCUUCCUAGCCAAUGCACGGCGACGGAGCAGAGCUCCCAUCGCGGCGGUGCCAUGGCCGGGGAUCCGCCCUCUUCACGCACCAAGGCCCCCAUCCAUGAUCCGAUUGUCACAACACGAGAUAAAGAACAUUGCGAACGGGUGGGAGUAGAUUUUACCAAUGUUUGUGAAUCAUACAUGGCCGCCCACGAUGAUAUGCAGAGUCACGGCGGAAGGAUUGCUCCGGUGAGCAAUCACCGACGCCCGGUGCAAGCACUAGAUCCGUCUGUCCCUCGAACACCCGUCUCACACCCUCACGAACGUCCGGGACCUCGCCCUGGCCCCUAAAUAGCCCUGGAAUCACAGAACGACGGUGAGGCUGCUUCGCGGCGUCCACCAAUUCCCCACAGUGCUUCCCUAGGCACCGGUUCUGCACCAGACCUCCAUGGUAACAUCAGCGCGACACCAAGCAGUUCCCUGGCCCCAAACCGAGGCAACGUUGUUGCUAUCUCCGUGAAUCAACGGUGGCGGGCAUGGCUUCACGCACCUGAUUCCCCGGCGGUGGCAUGGGCGGCCUUCUGUUCACACACUCCCCGCCCGGCGCCGAAGCAGUCCUCGGCUGGAUGGGAUGGGGUGGCCGCGAGCUUGGCUAUAAAUACCCCGGAGUCCGAUCGGGGGAUCAACCCCAACAACCCCGAGGCGGCGGUAGCGGGUUCUGUUCGGGUGGGGACGAAGAGGG
This 2823-nucleotide long non-coding RNA is filed under the name Zea mays. RNAcentral describes it as "long non-coding RNA (ZMAY_LNC002745)". Lineage: Eukaryota; Viridiplantae; Streptophyta; Magnoliopsida; Poales; Poaceae. The record is from RNAcentral.